Molecule: ribosomal RNA, 2490 nt
Filed under: Triticum aestivum (bread wheat)
Lineage: Eukaryota; Viridiplantae; Streptophyta; Magnoliopsida; Poales; Poaceae
Description: partial small subunit ribosomal RNA
Source: RNAcentral
AUGGAUAUUACUUCUACUUUGUUUGCUGCUCAAUCUAUGGAUCUUAACUCCCGGUCAGCUGCAGAAGCCAGUCUUAAGCUAUUCCAGGAGCAAAAUCUUUCCGCUUUUCUCCUGUCCUUGUCAGCAGAGCUCUCAAGUGAUGCAAAGCCACAAGCGUCUAGGGUACUUGCUGGUAUUAUUCUUAAGAACACAUUGGACUCGAAGGAUUCUGAAAAGAAGGAAUUACUGAUUCAACAAUGGGUGAACCUUGAUACAUCUGUCAAAAUGAAGAUCAAAAAGUCUUUGCUUACAACACUGGGAUCUUUGGUGGCUGUUGCAAGGCACGUCACAUCACAAGUCAUUGCAAAGGUUGCAUCCAUCGAGGUACCCCGCGGGAAAUGCCCUGAUGACCUCAUUGGCAUUUUACUAGUCAACUUAAAGGAGCAGGCUGCAUCUGCUCCACUGAAGCAAGCAACUCUAGAAGUGUUUGGGUAUGUAUUUCAGGACAUUCAUCCUGAGAACUUGGACCAGGAUCAAGCAAGUGUUAUUCUGACUGCUGUGGUCCAGGUAGCGAGUGAGGCACAUCUAAGCUCUGAAGUACGUCUCACAGCAGUUAAAGUUCUAUACAGUGCUCUUGAUUUUGCUUAUAGCAGCUUUGCAAAAGAUAGAUCGAGAAGUGACCUUAUGAAUUCAAUUAUCGGUACUGCUGUAUCUGAAGAUAAGAACAUCAGAGCCGCAUCAUUUGAAUGCCUUGUUGCAAUAGCAUCCAAAUAUUAUAUGCACUUGAAGCCUUAUAUCUCAGGCAUAUUGAAACUGACAGCUAGAGCUAUGGAAGAUGAUAAAUCAGUGGCACUUCAAGCUAUCGAGUUCUGGUGUAAUAUUUGCACUUGUGAACAGGUUGAAGUCCAAGAAACUUAUGCAGAAUUUGAUGAUGCUAAUUCUGUUGUGAACUAUCAUUUCAUUGAAUCGACAUUCCGUGAACUUGUUCCAAUGCUUCUAGGAACUCUGUUGAAGCAAGAGGAAGAUAAAGAGCAAAAAGGUAGUGUAAGGAAAGUUUCCACGAGUGGUAUGGUGUGCCUUGGCCUCAUUGCUAGAAUUCUUGGGGAUGAAGUUCUUCCUCAUAUGGUGAAAUUCAUUGAUGAUAACAUCGAGGGGCCCGAAUGGUAUUGCCGCAGGGCAGCUACUUUUGCACUAGUUUCUAUUCUUGUAGGACCCUCUGUUGAGGAACUUGUUCCCAUGGUACGGAAGAAGCUUGAUUGCUUGCUCAAUAGAAUGGAAGACGCAGACAAGGAGGAAAAAGCCACCAUUGCACGGACUAUUGGGCAGAUAUUUGAGAUUUUGCAUUCUCCAGCCAGUGCAAAUAUAAUCAUAACUAAUAAAAAUUGUCAUCGUAUCAUGAAUGUGCUGCUAGAAAGUAGUAAAGGUUAUCCAGAAGUGACUGAAGAAGUCUUUCGAGCCAUAUAUUUUCUUGCGCAAGGAUACCAAGAUGAAGAGUUGUUGCCUGAGCUUGCACCUUAUAUCGAACGAGCUAUCAAUGCUCUCAUUUCUGCUUUGGAUUGUGCUGAUAAGACAAAUUUCAGUCUUCGCACGUCUGCUUAUAGAGCACUGAAUGAAAUUGUGAGAGUCAGCAAGAUACAUGAAAAUCCCGACAUUAUAGGAAAACUAUUGUAUGAUAUCAUGGAAAGAUUGAACGGAACAUUUGAUUUCCCAAUACAAUCAGCAGACGACGUUAGGAAUCAAAACGAUCUACAGGCUUCUCUGUGUGUUCUAUUGCGGAUCAUCAUCCAUAAAUUGAGUAACUUAGUUGACAACUCCAUUAUUCCUGUCGCUGCUGACAAUUUGAUGCUCCUGUUUUUCCGUGUGUUCAAUCACCGCACUUGUGGUUCUACUGUACAUGACAAGGCUAUGCUAGCUACUGGUGCUCUUGCUUAUGCCAUUGGUCAAGAUUUUGAGAAGCACAUGCCUAAAUUAUUGCUGAACUAUAGUGAAUACCAACUCACCCCUGUCUCUCUUGGGGUACUAGGUAAUAUUUGUCAUGUCUUGGAGCAUCAAAUGUUGACAUCCUCUGUGAAAGUUAUGGAUGUUUUUAAAAAGGCUCUCUCAAACCCGAUGCUUGAUCGGUCUGUCAAACCGGCAAUUUUUUCAUGCUUUGGAGACCUUGCCCUUGCCAUAGGCGAGCAUUUUGACGGAUACCUGCCGACUGUUAUGGAAAUGCUUAAAGAAGAUGCCGACCUUGGUAUUGAUAAAGAGGAUGUUGGUUACCGCAACCAGCUUAGAUGGGCAAUCUGCAGGGCAUACAGUGGUAUACUAAAUGGUUUUAAGGGCCCAAAAGCUCGGCUGAUAGAACCUUAUUUAAGCUGUAUGUUGUCUUUCUUUCGAAAGGUCUGCGAUGACCCGAUCAGUGAUAAGAGUGUGGAACGCGCGGCGGUUCCUGUCAUCCAUGACUUGCAGGCCACAUUUGUGUCGCAGGCCCAGGAAAUGCUAGAUCAACUGGGCGGCUCUGAUCUCUAG